CAGUAGCCGCGGUAAUGCAUAGGUGGCGAGCGUUGUCCGGAAUUAUUGGGCGUAAAGGGAGCGCAGGCGGACAUAUAAGUCCAUCUUAAAAGUGCGGAGCUCAACCCCGUGAGGGGAUGGAAACUGUAUGCCUUGAGUGCAGGAGAGGAAAGCGGAAUUCCCUGUGUAGCGGUGAAAUGCGUAGAUAUUGGGAGGAACACCAGUGGCGAAGGCGGCUUUCUGGACUGUAACUGACGCUGAGGCUCGAAAGCCAGGGGAGCGAACGGGAUUAGAUACCCCCGUAGUCCCUGUCUCUUAUACA
This 301-nucleotide ribosomal RNA is filed under the name uncultured bacterium. Its description in RNAcentral is "partial 16S ribosomal RNA". It matches the Rfam family "Bacterial small subunit ribosomal RNA", at positions 509 to 809 of the family's 1533-position model. The record is from RNAcentral.